CCUAUGUGGUGCAUCCGUGGGGAAUAUUGGACAAUGGGGGGAACCCUGAUCCAGCCAUGCCGCGUGUGUGAAGAAGGCCCUCGGGUUGUAAAGCACUUUCAGUGAGGAAGAACGCCUGGUGGUUAAUACCCAUCAGGAAAGACAUCACUCACAGAAGAAGCACCGGCUAACUCCGUGCCAGCAGCCGCGGUAAUACGGAGGGUGCGAGCGUUAAUCGGAAUUACUGGGCGUAAAGCGCGCGUAGGUGGCUUGAUAAGCCGGUUGUGAAAGCCCCGGGCUCAACCUGGGAACGGCAUCCGGAACUGUCAAGCUAGAGUGCAGGAGAGGAAGGUAGAAUUCCCGGUGUAGUGGUGAAAUGCGUAGAGAUCGGGAGGAAUACCAGUGGCGAAGGCGGCCUUCUGGACUGACACUGACACUGAGGUGCGAAAGCGUGGGUAGCAAACAGGAUUAGAUACCCGAGUAGUC
Molecule: ribosomal RNA, 465 nt
Filed under: Vreelandella stevensii
Lineage: Bacteria; Pseudomonadati; Pseudomonadota; Gammaproteobacteria; Oceanospirillales; Halomonadaceae
Description: partial 16S ribosomal RNA
Rfam family: Bacterial small subunit ribosomal RNA
Source: RNAcentral